RNAcentral lists this ribosomal RNA (427 nucleotides) under uncultured bacterium. Its description in RNAcentral is "partial 16S ribosomal RNA". It matches the Rfam family "Bacterial small subunit ribosomal RNA", at positions 354 to 796 of the family's 1533-position model. The record is from RNAcentral.
GUGGGGAAUAUUGCGCAAUGGGGGAAACCCUGACGCAGCAAUACCGCGUGAGUGAAGAAGGUUUUCGGAUCGUAAAACUCUUUUAUUGGGGAAGAAGAAGUGACGGUACCCAAUGAAGAAGUCCCGGCUAACUACGUGCCAGCAGCCGCGGUAAUACGUAGGGGACAAGCGUUGUCCGGAAUCACUGGGCGUAAAGGGCGCGUAGGCGGUUUUAUAAGUCAGAUGUGAAAGGUACCGGCUCAAACGGUGACGUGCAUUUGAAACUGUAAGACUUGAGUACUGGAGAGGCUAGUGGAAUUCCUAGUGUAGCGGUGAAAUGCGUAGAUAUUAGGAGGAACACCGGUGGCGAAGGCGGCUUGCUGGACAGAUACUGACGCUGAGGUGCGAAAGCGUGGGGAGCGAACAGGAUUAGAAACCCUGGUAGUCC